RNAcentral lists this long non-coding RNA (1291 nucleotides) under Anas platyrhynchos platyrhynchos (common mallard). RNAcentral's name for it is "lncRNA (ENSAPLG00000028822.1)". The record is from RNAcentral. Lineage: Eukaryota; Metazoa; Chordata; Aves; Anseriformes; Anatidae.
AUGCUGAGCCAAGUUAGAGUCUGCCCUUUGGCUCAUUUCAUUGGCUGGCUCACUGCUACAAGGUACACAUUUUUUAAUGAAAGAUUGUUUACACCCAUGUACGUAUAUACACACACACAGACAAAUUUCCAACAGAUUUUAGGCUGGCUUGUCACUGGUUUAAUGGCUCUUCUUCCAAAAGAUAGUUGAUGCUUUACUGCUUGCCAACAGUGAAACAAUCAGUAAAGCUACAUCUUGAUGCUGCAGCCCAAAGGAGGAGCUAGAUCUGCAGUGCUGACUGAUAGACGGAAGUUUAGUUGAUUUCCUUGGGACUUGGAACACUGAACAAACACAAGAUCAUCAUCAAGGACUGAAGGCCAACCACACGACUUGUCCAGGAGAAAAAAAGAAUGGGUUCGAGGCACUUUUUGACACUUGAACUGAAUUAUGGGCAUCACAAAGAACUAUCCAGUGGAGAAACACAGCUCUGCAUAGAUAUUAUGGCAUGCAGAGUGGUUGAAGAGACAAAGAAAGAGUUGACGUUAGCUUUUCCCACCUUCCAGUACACCCAACACCUUGCUCAACAGUAGUCUUAGGAGAGAUAGGGAGGCCCAGGUGGGCUGUGUUGUUCUCUGCCUAAGGACAGUAGGCUAGUGCUGAGAUGGGCCUUCUGGUCUAUCUGAUCCCUGGUUGGGAAGGGGACAAGUGCUAUUGUGUGUUGCUGAGAUAACACCUGACUAUGGUUGUAGUGGGACCUGCAGCAAUUUUAGCCUACCGAUGUGUCAUUUUUGAGGAAAGUAAUGGAAAAUCCAGGCAAGCUGUUACUUUCUUUGGCUGAGGGACUGCUUCUCAAGAUCCUUCUUCACGCUCAAAGGCAAAUAUGUGAUAAUAUCAUUAUCAUCAUGGUUUUGGGUUUUGUGAAGGUUUAUAUCCAUCAUUCCCUGUAUUGGGAAAUCUCAUCCCUGACUUAGACUGGCAGUAUUUGUUUUCUACUGUCCCUGAGGGCCAGAAUGAUAUUUAGCUGUGAAAACUGCCAAGGCACCUUCAGUACGGAGAACAAAAGCCUUGCGUUCACCUCCUGAGAAACUGCAAGCACAAAGAACUUUUUUUUUUUUUUUUUUAAUCGUCUUCUUUUUUGUAGGAAAUAUGUGACAAGAAUCUAAUGUCAGUAUUUGCUGACACUUGCCUGGUGCCAUCUCAUAAUUCCUCUUUAUUAAAACAGGAAAUACGCUGUGUUGGAUAUGUUUUACACACUCACACACACAAAUGCACACAGGCUUCUCUCUCUCAAUAAAGACAGUACACAGAUUCA